RNAcentral lists this long non-coding RNA (1616 nucleotides) under Sus scrofa (pig). RNAcentral describes it as "lncRNA (ENSSSCG00055029012.1)". Lineage: Eukaryota; Metazoa; Chordata; Mammalia; Artiodactyla; Suidae. The record is from RNAcentral.
CCGCGCGCGCCCGCCCCGGGAGGAGGGUGCGCGGCGGAGGCGCGGGGGGGGGGGGGGGAGUCGAGGAGGGGCCGCGCCCGGUCCUCGCCCGCAGCGGGCACCGCCGGGGGCCCCGGGAGGCCUUGUUGGUAUUCCGGGCACAGCAGAAGCCCUGACCUCCCCGCGGAACAGGGGCGCCCGGGAGCGCGGCGCGGCCGCCGCCCCCGGGCGGUCUCCCCGGACUGCGGGGCCGUAGGCGCCUUGCUCCCCCUCCUCCCUGUCCCCUCCUCUCCAGGUCCCCCGUACCCCCUCCCCCGGCCUGAUCCGGCGGCGAAGGGGUGGGCAGGGAAACGCGCUCUCUGGGACAGGUGCCAACUCCGAGACAAAAGACAUAAAAUAGGCGGCAACGGGGGAAGCGCGGCCGGCGCGCUCGGGCGGGGACGGAGGCGCCGCGGGGGCCGCAUCCUCGGUGCCGACCGGGGAAAGUUUGGGAAGUCGCCGCGGCGGCUUCGCAGCGGCGGGGGACACGCGGGCCGGGCCGCCCUCCGCGCCGCGCUCGCCCUCUCCGCGCCGCUGCUGAAUAAUUCAUGGCGCGGCCGCCGGCCAUUAGCAUGCACCGGGCGCGCGGCGCGUCUGUGCCCAGCCGUCGCCGCCGCAUUCGGCGCCCCGGCCGCGCUAGACGAGCGGCCGCGCAGAGGCCGGGCCCGCGCCGUCCCCGCGCUCGCCCGCCCGUCCGCCCGUCCGCCCACCCGGCGGCUCCCAUUGUGCCCCAGGCCCGCGCCGCUCCGCCGUCCUGUGACCGCCUGCGCCCCGCAGCGCGCCCGACGGCCGGCCGCUGGAAGUUCGGGCCCGCGGCGCACGCCCUGCCGCCCCGGGAUGCACGUGAACUUGGAGAAAGUCUCGGGGCGCGCCGGCGCAGACCUCCGCGGCAGGGCGUGGGCGCCCCUGGCCCCGCGCGCUUUCGUUUUCGUCUGGGACAAAGGUCCCUCGCGGCGCAGGUCGCGGACGUGGAGGCAGUGCCCUGCGGGCCACUCAGCGGGGAGGUCCGGUCGUUCAGUCAAGGGAAGCCGGAGCCUGGAGAAGACGAGCCGCGCGGUCGGAGGCGCGGUGCGGGACCAGGACAGUGGGGCCUGGCCGUGCGCUUCGCCCUGGCGGUCCAGGAGCUGUCUCGCCCUCCGAAGAGUUACGGGAGGUGGCACUGCUUUUGCUCUCUGCCCUUUCGACACGUGAAGGAGAGAAUCAUUCGGAACCCAGGACUCAGACCGGUGGCCGAGGGCCUGUGCAGCCGCGAGCACGACAGCGCAGCGCUGGCCGCGUCCGCGCGCGUUCCUCCGACAAGGGCAGAGCAGUCGACCAGCGCGCCCCAGUCUCGAUCGGGUUCAAGGCGACUCUUGAGGACGGUGUGGGGCUUUGAAAGUACAAUCCUGCAUGGCCUUACUGUGAAUGGAUGGGCACUUUGUCUCGGUCCGGAUGCAGGAGUCCUGCCUUUAGAGGCAGCUCAGAAGCCCUGUGGAUGGAUCGUACGAGCGCCCCGGCCCAGCCCACUUGCAGCCAGUGGUAGGAGGCUUGCCGAGCAGAGAUGUGACCGGCCGAGACUGCGGUUAUUAUCGCCAAAUGAGACUGGUAGUUGUGGUUAG